RNAcentral lists this transfer RNA (73 nucleotides) under Candidatus Opitulatrix roisinitermitis. RNAcentral describes it as "tRNA-Ala". It matches the Rfam family "tRNA". From Rfam's summary of the family: Transfer RNA (tRNA) molecules are approximately 80 nucleotides in length. Their secondary structure includes four short double-helical elements and three loops (D, anti-codon, and T loops). Lineage: Bacteria; Bacillati; Actinomycetota; Actinomycetes; Bifidobacteriales; Bifidobacteriaceae. The record is from RNAcentral.
GGGGCUAUGGCGCAGUUGGUAGCGCGUUUCAAUGGCAUUGAAAAGGUCGGGGGUUCAAAUCCCCCUAGCUCCA